UACGUAGGGACCGAGCGUUGUCCGGAAUCAUUGGGCGUAAAGAGCGUGUAGGCGGCUAUUUAAGUCCUGCGUGAAAUCCUGCGGCUCAACCGCAGACGGUCGUGGGAAACUGGAUGGCUAGAGUGCGGGAGAGGAGAGUGGAAUUCCCGGUGUAGCGGUGAAAUGCGUAGAGAUCGGGAGGAACACCAGAGGCGAAGGCGGCGACCUGGACAAUUACUGACACUCAACUGCGAAAGCGUGGGGAGCAAACAGG
This 253-nucleotide ribosomal RNA is filed under the name uncultured bacterium. Its description in RNAcentral is "partial 16S ribosomal RNA". It matches the Rfam family "Bacterial small subunit ribosomal RNA", at positions 524 to 776 of the family's 1533-position model. The record is from RNAcentral.